UCAGUCAGCGCAGCGUAAUAACAGAAACUAACCAGGAUUCCCUUAGUAACGGCGAGUGAACUGGGAUACCAAUAUAUUUAUGCGUCUCUGGCGCAUAUUUUUAGCCCGUCGAUACUAUCCUAGCGUAUUACCGGUUUCGGCCGGUAGCCCAAUACGCGGGAAUUGUAGCAUCGUAAUAAAAUAUACACCAUGCCUGCGUCGCAAACGUAUAUACACGUAUACUCACACACACACACAUACUCUCGUACGCGUACACACCCCCUUGCAAACACACAGCGCUCCCGCGUUGGAAAGCAAGUCUAUAUCCUCUUUGGAUAUGCCAUAGAGUGUGACAGCCACGUUUGAAACACCCUACGUACCGUACACACACAUACGUAAAAAAUACGCGCUGCUUCGCAUACGCAUACCGUAUAUAACCUGAGUCGAGUUAUUUGGGACUAUAGCUCUAAUAGUUUGGUUGGUGGUAAUGACACAUCAAAGGCUAAAUAUUGGUUAGUCGAUGCAUUUUACGGAGACCGAUAGCAUACAAGUACCGUAAGGGAACGAUGAAAAGCACCCUAUUAAGUUCACGGUGUCGGCCGCGUACAAUUCGUUGUACAACGCCGCGUCCAACAACUACAGUGGGAGUGAAAGAGAGAGU
Molecule: ribosomal RNA, 640 nt
Filed under: Ammonia sp. genotype T6
Lineage: Eukaryota; Foraminifera; Rotaliida; Rotaliidae
Description: partial large subunit ribosomal RNA
Rfam family: Eukaryotic large subunit ribosomal RNA
Source: RNAcentral